UACGGAGGGUGCAAGCGUUGUCCGGAAUCACUGGGCGUAAAGGGCGCGUAGGCGGCUCAUGAAGGCUGUGGUGAAAGUCCGGGGCUCAACCCCGGGUCGGCCGUGCGGACUGCCGGGCUGGAGCACUGUAGAGGCAGGUGGAAUUCCGGGUGGAGCGGUGAAAUGCGUAGAGAUCCGGAGGAACACCGACGGCGUAGGCAGCGCCCUGGCCGUUUCCUGACGCUGAUGCACGAAAGCUGGGGGAGCAAACAGG
This 253-nucleotide ribosomal RNA is filed under the name uncultured bacterium. RNAcentral describes it as "partial 16S ribosomal RNA". It matches the Rfam family "Bacterial small subunit ribosomal RNA", at positions 524 to 776 of the family's 1533-position model. The record is from RNAcentral.